This 75-nucleotide transfer RNA is filed under the name Escherichia phage pEC-M719-6WT.1. Its description in RNAcentral is "tRNA-Asp". It matches the Rfam family "tRNA". From Rfam's summary of the family: Transfer RNA (tRNA) molecules are approximately 80 nucleotides in length. Their secondary structure includes four short double-helical elements and three loops (D, anti-codon, and T loops). Lineage: Duplodnaviria; Heunggongvirae; Uroviricota; Caudoviricetes; Andersonviridae. The record is from RNAcentral.
GGUUAUGUAGUUUAAUUUGGUUAAAAUACCUCCCUGUCACGGAGGAAGAUGUGGGUUCAAGUCCCAUCAUAACCG